AGAGUUUGAUCCGUGGCUCAGGACGAACGCUGGCGGCGUGCUUAAUACAUGCAAGUCGAACGAGGUAUAGCAAUAUACCGAGUGGCGAACGGGUGAGUAACACGUGAGCAACCUGCCCUAUACAGGGGGACAACAGCUGGAAACGGCUGCUAAUACCGCAUAAGACCACAGCACCGCAUGGUGCAGGGGUAAAAGGCUACGGUCGGUAUAGGAUGGGCUCGCGUACUAUUAGCUAGUUGGUGAGAUAACAGCCCACCAAGGCUUCGAUAGUUAGCCGACCUGAGAGGGUGAUCGGCCACAUUGGAACUGAGACACGGUCCAGACUCC
RNAcentral lists this ribosomal RNA (327 nucleotides) under uncultured Eubacteriales bacterium. RNAcentral's name for it is "bacterial SSU rRNA". It matches the Rfam family "Bacterial small subunit ribosomal RNA", at positions 8 to 339 of the family's 1533-position model. The record is from RNAcentral. Lineage: Bacteria; Bacillati; Bacillota; Clostridia; Eubacteriales.